RNAcentral lists this ribosomal RNA (479 nucleotides) under Onchocerca sp. QSM-2012. RNAcentral describes it as "partial 12S ribosomal RNA". The record is from RNAcentral. Lineage: Eukaryota; Metazoa; Nematoda; Chromadorea; Rhabditida; Onchocercidae.
GACUCUAUUUGUUGUGAUAUCUUAAGUGUUUUAAAUUAUUUUUAUGUUAUUUUUUGUAAAAUAUUUUAGUUUUUUUUUUGUUUUCUUGNGAUAUCAAAAAUUUGUUUUUUGAACUGGAUUAGUACCCAGGUAAUCAAAAUUUAGUAAUUCGGGAGUAAAGUUUUGUUUAAACCGAAAAAAUAUUGACUGACUUUAGAUUUUUCUUUGGAAUAUGUGAUUUGCUGGAGAGCCCUCUUUUUUGGUGAAUUUUAUUGGCACAUGUAUGAUUGUUUAGUUUUUAUUUUAUUUUGUAAUGCUUUUUUUGUUUUGGCAUUAAGAACAGAUAUAUAUUUGGCUUAUGGAUUCAUGUUUCAUGUGUUACUAUUAUAAAUUUUUUUUGGAUUAAUUUUUUAUUUUUUUUUGAAAUUGGAAAAGAAAGUAAUUUUUUCUUAAUGUUUUAAUGAAUUUAAUAAAUAAAGUGGUACAAACCAUCCGUCAAU